This 442-nucleotide ribosomal RNA is filed under the name uncultured bacterium. RNAcentral describes it as "partial 16S ribosomal RNA". It matches the Rfam family "Bacterial small subunit ribosomal RNA", at positions 339 to 795 of the family's 1533-position model. The record is from RNAcentral.
CUACGGGUCGCACCAGUCGAGAAUCAUCCGCAAUGGGCGAAAGCCUGACGGUGCAAUGCCGCGUGGGGGAUGAAGGCCCUCGGGUCGUAAACCCCUGUCAGGAGGGACGAAGAAGUGACGGUACCUCCAGAGGAAGCCACGGCUAACUACGUGCCAGCAGCCGCGGUAAUACGGUAGGUGGCGAGCGUUAUUCGGAUUUACUGGGCGUAAAGGGUCCGCAGGGGGUUUGCCAAGUCUGGUGUGAAAUCUCACAGCUCAACUGUGAAACCGCGCUGGAUACUGGUGAACUAGAGUGCGCGAGGGGUGAGUGGAAUUCCUGGUGUAGCGGUGGAAUGCGUAGAUAUCAGGAAGAACACCAACGGCGAAGGCAGCUCACUGGCGCGCAACUGACCCUCAUGGACGAAAGCGUGGGUAGCAAACAGGAUUAGAUACCCGCGUAGUC